RNAcentral lists this long non-coding RNA (362 nucleotides) under Equus caballus (horse). RNAcentral's name for it is "lncRNA (ENSECAG00000029255.3)". The record is from RNAcentral. Lineage: Eukaryota; Metazoa; Chordata; Mammalia; Perissodactyla; Equidae.
GGAAAGUGAGUUGGGGUAAUUAUUUCUUUUCCCUCUUCACUGCUGAACUACAAUUUUGGCUUCAGCUCUGCUUGGCCCCUUCUCUACCCGGCAGCUCUCAUUGGACUCAGGAACGUAGAGUCCUCCAGACUCUACGUACAUGUAGCUGAUGUAAAUUCACCUGAGGAGUUCCUGGGGGAGACUGCAAGGAGAUGUCAGAGGGACCCAGGUACCUAGGAAUCUCUCUCUGGUCACUGAUGUUCAACUGGAAGCACCAUUUCUCUCAGAGUAGCUUCUUUGGUUUCUCCAGAAGAAAUGAUAAGGAUCAGGAGGGACUGAAAGUCAAACAACCUAUCUCCUAAGUGAAGCGAGGAUGUGACAAG